Long non-coding RNA from Girardinichthys multiradiatus, 883 nucleotides. RefSeq lists it as uncharacterized. The transcript is spliced from 5 exons. NCBI's taxonomy places the organism in Eukaryota, Metazoa, Chordata, Actinopteri, Cyprinodontiformes, Goodeidae. The record is from RefSeq and is a predicted model, not a curated record.
AAACAGUCAAGUAGGCUCAAUCCAUUUCAUUUUAAUAUUCAACAGCAUGUUUUCUAAAGAUGUUGCCAAAGGAUUAAAACUCAACAUUAUUUGCCUCUAUUCAGGCUUUGGCAACUGUCUCCGACAGAUGGCACCAGACACACGGUAGGAGCUGAGUCCACAGGUGUUCUCCAUCAGCCUCAUCAGGAGAGGAGCUUAAGAACCCAAUGCUGCCAACACUCCAGUGCCUGAGUGUUAACCUACAGUGGUUACCUCCAGUUCCAAGCUUCUGUAUCCAACCUGCUUGUGCAGAAAACCCAGACUCUCUCUUUGCAAGAGAACUUCACGGACUAUCUUCUCAGUUGGCUGCAUUUGGGUUUCAAGGCUCCUCAGGCUUUCUGUGAACGAACCUGGCUCACCCUCCACCGUGCUCCCCUCUAAGAUCAUCCACCUGGUGCCACCUCUACCUCAAGUGCAAAUUCAAUCCAGCAGAGAAAAAUUAUGAUGUGGGAGACCGUGAACUUUUUGCAAUAAAACUGGCCCUGGAGGAGCGUCAUUGGCCGGAGGUUGCUGAACACCCAGUUGUGACCUGGUUCCAAGAAUAUCAAGCCCUACGCCCUCUCUCGACAGUUCUCCCCAGACGACUCUGACAGGGAACCUGCUCCUAUCCUACCACCAAGUUGUGUUGUUGGAGCCCUCACGUGUGGAGUUCUAGGAGUUUACUGUUCACUUGCUUUACCUGCUACUAACCCCAUCCAACCUCUAGAUGGCACCAGACGCACGUUAGGAGCUGAGUCCACAGGUGUUCCCCAAUAGCCUCAUCAGGAGAGGAGCUUAAGAACCCAACGCUGCCAACACUCCGGUGCCUGAGUGUUAACCUACAGUGGCAACUCUAGCUGGCCAA